AACGUUCCUGGUUGAUGUUUAACACGCAGCUUAUACCAGUCUCUUGUUGUAGAUUGACAACAAGCUGCUUUUUCUAGAAGGAGGAUUGCUUGGGAAACCUUCAGAUGAAAAUGAAAAGAAAACGUCACCAUGGCCAGAGGAGGAGGAAGCGACAGCAACAACAACGGCGUCGACAGCAGCAGCAGGAACGACAGGAGCAGCAACAAGAGCAGCAGCGGCUGCGGCAGCAGCAGCAGCAGGAGCAGGAGCAGCAGCAGCAGCAGCAGGGGCAACAGCGGCAGCAGCAGCAGGGGCAGCAGCGGCAGCAGCAGCAGCAGCAGCAGCAGCAGCAGCAGCAGCAGUGCCAGCAGCAGCAGCAGCAGCAGUGCCAGCAGCAGCAGCAGCAGCAGCAGCAGUGCCAGCAGCAGCAGCAGCAGCAGUGCCAGCAGUGCCAGCAACUGCAGCAGCAGCAGCAGGAGCAGCAGCAGCAGCAACGUAGGAGGAGAAACAACAGGAGGAGCAGGAGGAGCAGGAAGAGUAAGAAGAGCAAGAGGAACAGGAAGACCAGAAACACCAGGAGGAGGAGGAGAAGAAAUAAUGAGUGAUUGUGUCUACGUUUACGGGAAGAGUUUGAUGUGGUAGAAAUGUUGCUUCUUUGGAGAAAUUUGUACUCAAAGAAUUACUCAUGUAGAUAUUCCUCUCUCCCUGCCAAUAAAAUUUCAUCCACCUUUGGUUGUGUACAAGGAAGCUAUUGUGUGUCCAAAGAGUCCUCAGGAAGAGAGGCAUGGAUACUCUUCAGCAAAGAUGUAACACAACAGGCAAGGAGACGGAUCCCAGAGAGACUGCUGGAAUAAAUUUGGAGUUGAGUGAGAAAAAAGAUGGUAGGCUUACACCUUUGGCAUUUACAUCUAACAUAUUUGAGGCGGAGGCAGCGCCUGCGACGACGACGACAACAGCAA
RNAcentral lists this long non-coding RNA (938 nucleotides) under Mus musculus (house mouse). Its description in RNAcentral is "RIKEN cDNA A230006K03 gene". The record is from RNAcentral. Lineage: Eukaryota; Metazoa; Chordata; Mammalia; Rodentia; Muridae.